Molecule: ribosomal RNA, 499 nt
Filed under: uncultured bacterium
Lineage: Bacteria
Description: partial 16S ribosomal RNA
Rfam family: Bacterial small subunit ribosomal RNA
Source: RNAcentral
GAUGAACGCUGGCGGCGUGCCUAAUACAUGCAAGUCGGGCGAACAGACGAGAGUGCUUGCACUCUCUGACGUUAGCGGCGGACGGGUGAGUAACACGUGGGUAACCUACCUAUAAGACUGGGAUAACUUCGGGAAACCGGAGCUAAUACCGGAUAAUAUUUAGCUUCGCAUGAAGCAAUAGUGAAAGACGGUUCUGCUGUCACUUAUAGAUGGACCCGCGGUGUAUUAGCUAGUUGGUGAGGUAACGGCUCACCAAGGCAACGAUACAUAGCCGACCUGAGAGGGUGAUCGGCCACACUGGGACUGAGACACGGCCCAGACUCCUACGGGAGGCAGCAGUAGGGAAUCUUCCGCAAUGGACGAAAGUCUGACGGAGCAAUGCCGCGUGAGUGAAGAAGGUUUUCGGAUCGUAAAACUCUGUUGUAAGGGAAGAACAAGUACGUUAGUAACUGAACGUACCUUGACGGUACCUUACCAGAAAGCCACGGCUAACUACGUG